UUAACUAAGAUUCCUUUAGUAGCGGCGAGCGAAACAGGAUAAGCCCAGCACUAAGCCCUUCCAGUCGUUCUGGCUGGCAGGGGAUGCAGUGUAUGGAAUGUCUAUUAUCUUAUAUGACGGUAAUACGUUCAAGUCCAUCUUGAAUGGGGCUAUUUUACCCAUAGAGGGUGCCAGGCCCGUAGCAGCUAUUACCAGUAUAAGAAGAUUUUUCCAAAGAGUCGUGUUGCUUGAUAGUGCAGCACUAAGUUGGUGGUAAACUCCAUCUAAGGCUAAAUAUAACCACGAGACCGAUAGCGAACAAGUACCGUGAGGGAAAGUUGAAAAGCACUCUGAAUAGAGAGUUAAAUAGUACGUGAAACCGCUAAGGGGUUAAGCCCGAUGAACCUGAAUAUCUGAAUUGAGAAAUUCAAUACUACUCUUAACGGGGUGGUAUGCACUUUUCUCAUAGUAGGACAUUGCGAUCCAUUAGUAUUAUAUCUUUUUAAAAGAUGGUUUAUCAUACGGCCCAUUAGUUAGUUUAAUUAUUUUAUAAUAAUUUAUUUUGUUAUAUGAAUUAAUACUAUUGUGGUGACCUGAUAAACAGCUGAUGGAACUUAAAAAUCAUGCAACCAUGCAUAUGUAUCACGAUUUUGAUAUUAUUUUAAUAUUAAAAUGCAGUGAUAGCAUGUAUUUGAUUAGCAAUGCGAUAGAUUUGGGAUACCUUCGGGACCCGUCUUGAAACACGGACCAAGAAGUCUAACAUGUGUGUAAGUCAUUGGGUAUUUUGUUGAACCUAAAGGCGAAUUAAAUAACUAUUUUAAUGGGAUUACAAGCAAUUUAUAAAUGAUUGUUUCUCCAUCCCGGGGCGUUCUAUUUAAACAUGAUUUAAGCAUUAAUCCUCUGUUGAGAGCGUACCUUGACAUACA
RNAcentral lists this ribosomal RNA (905 nucleotides) under Greenomyia mongolica. RNAcentral describes it as "eukaryotic LSU rRNA". It matches the Rfam family "Eukaryotic large subunit ribosomal RNA", at positions 65 to 806 of the family's 3401-position model. The record is from RNAcentral. Lineage: Eukaryota; Metazoa; Arthropoda; Insecta; Diptera; Mycetophilidae.